CCCUACGGGGCGCAGCAGGCGCGAAAACUUUACAAUGCUGGAAACAGCGAUAAGGGGACCUCAAGUGCCAGGUUACAAAUCUGGCUGUCGUGAUGCCUAAAAAGCAGGGAGAGUAAGGGCUGGGUAAGACGGGUGCCAGCCGCCGCGGUAAUACCCGCAGCCCGAGUGGUGCUCGUUAUUAUUGGGCCUAAAACGUCCGUAGCCGGCCUUGUAAAUCCAUGUGGAAAUCGGAGGGCUCAACCCUCCGAAGGGCGUGGACACUGCAAGGCUUGGGACUGGGUGAGUUCGGAGGUACUUCCGGGGUAGGGGUGAAAUCCUGUAAUCC
Molecule: ribosomal RNA, 325 nt
Filed under: uncultured archaeon
Lineage: Archaea
Description: bacterial SSU rRNA
Rfam family: Archaeal small subunit ribosomal RNA
Source: RNAcentral